UCUUCUUUUCUUUUUCUUUUUCUUUUCCUUCUUCUUCUUCUUCUUUUCUUCUUCUCCCGUGGACUUGUUUUGGGCUGAAACAGGGGACCGUGAGGUCCCCUCGUUGGGUGGUCGGCCGGCGGCGCAGCCGGCGUGGGACGACCAUCGGCAGGAGAGGAGACGUUCCGACGAUAAGGGGCGGCCAAACCGGUGGUCAACGGUGACCACCGACGAUAGAAAAAUGAUAAAAAGGAAGAUUCUUCCGCAACAAAAUCCGGCGACUCCGGUCGCCGGCGAGCGUGCACAUCGGCACGGAAAGGAAGGGGAAGGAGAGAGGAAGGGGAGGAGGCUUACCUCCGUCGCCGGCGAGGCUUU
RNAcentral lists this long non-coding RNA (354 nucleotides) under Elaeis guineensis (African oil palm). RNAcentral's name for it is "long non-coding RNA (EGUI_LNC046467)". The record is from RNAcentral. Lineage: Eukaryota; Viridiplantae; Streptophyta; Magnoliopsida; Arecales; Arecaceae.